This 71-nucleotide transfer RNA is filed under the name Gemmatimonadaceae bacterium. Its description in RNAcentral is "tRNA-Asn". It matches the Rfam family "tRNA". From Rfam's summary of the family: Transfer RNA (tRNA) molecules are approximately 80 nucleotides in length. Their secondary structure includes four short double-helical elements and three loops (D, anti-codon, and T loops). The record is from RNAcentral. Lineage: Bacteria; Pseudomonadati; Gemmatimonadota; Gemmatimonadia; Gemmatimonadales; Gemmatimonadaceae.
GCGGGGUAGCUCAGUGGCAGAGUAGCGGACUGUUAAUCCGCGUGUCGUGGGUUCGACCCCCACCCCCGUCG